GCAGUCGAGCGACAGACGAGGAGCUUGCUCCUCUGACGUUAGCGGCGGACGGGUGAGUAACACGUGGAUAACCUACCUAUAAGACUGGGAUAACUUCGGGAAACCGGAGCUAAUACCUGAUAAUAUAUUGAACCGCAUGGUUCAAUAGUGAAAGACGGUUUUGCUGUCACUUAUAGAUGGAUCCGCGCCGCAUUAGCUAGUUGGUAAGGUAACGGCUUACCAAGGCAACGAUGCGUAGCCGACCUGAGAGGGUGAUCGGCCACACUGGAACUGAGACACGGUCCAGACUCCUACGGGAGGCAGCAGUAGGGAAUCUUCCGCAAUGGGCGAAAGCCUGACGGAGCAACGCCGCGUGAGUGAUGAAGGUCUUCGGAUCGUAAAACUCUGUUAUUAGGGAAGAACAAAUGUGUAAGUAACUAUGCACGUCUUGACGGUACCUAAUCAGAAAGCCACGGCUAACUACGUGCCAGCAGCCGCGGUAAUACGUAGGUGGCAAGCGUUAUCCGGAAUUAUUGGGCGUAAAGCGCGCGUAGGCGGUUUUUUAAGUCUGAUGUGAAAGCCCACGGCUCAACCGUGGAGGGUCAUUGGAAACUGGAAAACUUGAGUGCAGAAGAGGAAAGUGGAAUUCCAUGUGUAGCGGUGAAAUGCGCAGAGAUAUGGAGGAACACCAGUGGCGAAGGCGACUUUCUGGUCUGUAACUGACGCUGAUGUGCGAAAGCGUGGGGAUCAAACAGGAUUAGAUACCCUGGUAGUCCACGCCGUAAACGAUGAGUGCUAAGUGUUAGGGGGUUUCCGCCCCUUAGUGCUGCAGCUAACGCAUUAAGCACUCCGCCUGGGGAGUACGACCGCAAGGUUGAAACUCAUAGGAAUUGACGGGGACCCGCACAAGCGGUGGAGCAUGUGGUUUAAUUCGAAGCAACGCGAAGAACCUUACCAAAUCUUGACAUCCUCUGACCCCUCUAGAGAUAGAGUUUUCCCCUUCGGGGGACAGAGUGACAGGUGGUGCAUGGUUGUCGUCAGCUCGUGUCCUGAGAUGUUGGGUUAAGUCCCGCAACGAGCGCAACCUUUAAGCUUAGUUGCCAUCAUUAAGUUGGGCACUCUAAGUUGACUGCCGGUGACUAACCGAAAGUAACGUU
RNAcentral lists this ribosomal RNA (1136 nucleotides) under Staphylococcus epidermidis. RNAcentral describes it as "bacterial SSU rRNA". It matches the Rfam family "Bacterial small subunit ribosomal RNA", at positions 57 to 1175 of the family's 1533-position model. The record is from RNAcentral. Lineage: Bacteria; Bacillati; Bacillota; Bacilli; Caryophanales; Staphylococcaceae.